This is a long non-coding RNA of Hyla sarda, 2527 nucleotides long. RefSeq lists it as uncharacterized. Lineage: Eukaryota; Metazoa; Chordata; Amphibia; Anura; Hylidae. The record is from RefSeq and is a predicted model, not a curated record. The transcript is spliced from 3 exons.
GAAGGGUUAGGGCUCAGAGGAAAUUUGGUGAUCAGAUCCAUGGGGGAGAAGAACUCUACAGGGAUGACCAAUACAAAUAAACCUGUACGCCCCUGAAAGACCAGGCCUGUUUUUUUCUCAUCGGGGAUGUCUGUCUUUAUUAGAGAAUAACUCUGGAAAUUUUGGAAUUUUUCACCAUGAAAUGAUGCAAGUAUCAAAGAAAAUGUACCACUACGAGAAAGAAGAAUAUGUCACAAAAAACAAUGUCUGAAUCAAAUUCAUAAGUAAGAGCAUCCCAGAGUUAUUAAUACUUAAAGUGACAGUGGUCAGAUGUGCAAAAAAUACUCUGGUCCUUAAAGGGAUACUCCAGUGGAAACUUUUUUUUAAAUCAACUGGUGCCAGAAAGUUAAAAAGAUUUGUAAAUUAAUCUUUCUAGUGCUUAUCAGCUGCUGUAUAAUACAAAGGAAGUUCUUUUCUGUCUGACCACAGGGCUUUCUGCUGACACCUCUGUCCAUGUCAGGAACUGUCCAGAGCAGCAUAUGUUUGCUAUGGGGAUUUGCUCCUGCUCUGGAUAGUUCCUGACAUGGACAGAGGUGUCAGCAGAGAGCACUCUGGUCAGACUGAAAAGAAAUUCAGAAAGAAAAGAAGUUACUGUGGAGCAUAUAGCAUCUGAUAAAUACUGGAAGGAUUAAGAUUUUUAAAUAGAAGUAAUUUACAAAUCUGUUUAACUUUCUGGCACCAGUUGAUAAGGUUAACACAUCUAAACAGAAUAUAGCAGACUACAAUUGCAAUUGAAGAAUGUGAUAGUACGGUAAGUUUAUGGUUUAACAUUUAUAUGAAUUGAGUUAAAUGGGCACUGUCAUUAAAACAAAUUUUUGCUACUGCAUUCCUUAUGGCAAAUAAAAAAAUCUUUCUAAAUGUACUUUAUUUAACCCCUUAAGGACCAAGCGUUUUUCCACUUUCAUUUUUUAUUCAUUACCUUUUAGAAAUCAUAACGCUUUCCAUUGUGCACAUAAAAAUACAUAUGAUGGCUUAUUUUUUUUGCACCACCAAUUCUUCUUUGUAAUGACAUCAGUCAUUUUACCCAAAAAUCUGCAGUGCAAAAAAUAAAAAAAACAUUGUGUGACAAAAGAAAAAAAAAACAUUUUGUAAAUUUUGGGGGCUUCCGUUUCCAAGCAGUACAUUUUUCAGCAAAAAUGAUACCCUACUUCUAUAGGUUUGAUUUUGUCGUACUUCUGGAAAAAAUCAUAACUACAUGCACGAAAAUACGUUUAAAAUGGUCAUCUUCUGACCCCUAUAACUUUAUUUUUACGUGUACGGGGCAAUAUGAGGGCUAAUUUUUUUUGCGCUGUGAUCUGAAGUCUUUAGCAGUACCAUUUUUGUAUUGAUCAGACUUUUUGAUCGCUUUUUAUUAAAUUAUUUCAUUAUAUAAAAAGUAACCAAAAAUACACUAUUUUGGAAUUUUUUGCGCGUACGCCUUUGACCGUGCGGUUUAAUUAACUAUAUAUUUUUAUAGUUCGGACAUUUUCGCAUGCGGCGAUACCAUGUUUAUUUUUAUUAUGGUUACAUAUUUUUAAUAUGGAAUUUGGGAAAAGGGGGGUGAUUUAAAAACUUUUAAUUAGGAAGGGGUUAAUUUUUUUUAUUUUUUAUUUUUUUUAUAACUUUUUAGUCCCUUAGGGGACUUUUAGGAGGAACCAUUAGAGUCCUCAUACAGAUCAAUAUGGUUUCAUAGAACUACAUUGAUCUGUGUGCUCUGUGCUCAAUUGAUAAAGCCUGGUCCUGCCAGCCUUUAUCAUUCACAGUGCAGCAGCCGGCAUAGGACAUGAGGUAAGCCCUCCAGCUACCUAAGCAGUGGAUCGCCCCCUUGCGAUGGUUUAAAUGUCCCUUUAGACACCACUGUGAACUUUUGACAGGGUUAAUAACCUGCCGCGGCAAUCGCCGUAUGUCGGCUAUUAACCCUGGCCCUCAGCUACAGGAAUCGGCUGGGGGCCGGCCGGUAUGACGCGGGCUCAAGUCAGGAGCCUGCGCCAUACAACGGUUGCAGUCUCAGGAUGUGCCAGCUUGUCCUUAGACGGCAACAGGUUUAAAAAAAAUAAUUUAAUUUUCUGUGUUUAAUUUGUGUUUAAAAAAGCUGCCACUAGGUGUCUCCCUACUUGUCCAGAACACAUUUCCCGCCAUCCCUUGCACAGACUGAACUCCUGCUGGCCUGGCAGAAGUCCAAAAGCAGGAAAUGCUGAGGGGUGUGUGUGCAGCCUUAUCCAAUCAGAGCUCAUCUCACACACUGAACUGCUCUGGGCUGUGUGUACCAGAGUGAGGGAGGAAGUUCUACCCUGUAUGGCUUCAGAUUAUGUCACACCUGCUGGGGAACCUCUCUCCCCAGUCUGUGAAUCUGACUGAGACUGAGCAGAAAAUACAGAGCAAUAUCAAGGUAGAAAACUAACAAAUAAUAAAAAUAAAGGCAGGGGGUGGUUUAUCAUGAUGGGGGCAGUGAACUUGGAGGAUUUUAACAUUUAAAAAGAUCAUGAGAGGUACUCUUUAAUUGACAUUA